UAUGCCAAAUUUUACACUUUUAUUCAGAGGAAUUGUCAAUUAUUGCCAUUUUAGUCACACUACAAUUGUUCCACUUUGCCCCAGAAUCAAAAUGGUACUGUUCCGUUGUCUUGGUUCACACGCCUUAAAUUAAGAAGUAGCUUGCUAGCUAACACAGUCUUUUAAAAGAGGAAUUGUCCACCUUUAUCGUUUUAGUCACAAUCCAGUUGUCUUUUUUCUCCUUUAAGUCCAUUUGAGAUAUCAUCACCCCCGCCCCACAAUCCAAAAUGGCACAAUCCUGUUUGUUUCCUGUUUGUUCAUGAACUAGGAAGUAGCCUGCUAGCUAACACAUGGACAGACAGACAGACAAAUGUGUCCUUUUUUAAAUUGUUUCAGUCACAAUAGUGAUAUUUCAUCCUCUUUAUGAAUCAAAACAGUCCAGUCCUGUGAUCUUACGUGAUCCUCAUUAAACCAGGAAGUAGCCUGCUAAGAUGAUGAAUUAGCUCAGCACUCAGCAAUUCUUUUUUUACUUUUUGUCCUUUCCAUCUCUUCACCUUGUCCUCCGCCCCCCCCCUUCCUGCCUCCCCAGUUUUUCUGUCUCUAUUUUGGACACUGAGAUGGGGGGGGUGGGGUGACAGAAAGGGUGACCCUCAGUCUCUCCAGCUACAAAGUGAAACUAACAAGCGCUGCCUGGAGAACCUUCUUCAAGUGAACCAAACACUUUGGGAACUAUCAAGAACCAUCAAUGGACUGUUUUUUUCUUGUGGCGAAGGUUGUGGUAUUUUUAGAACAGCUGUGAUAGUUCUAUUUUUUUUUGUUGCCGGGAGUCAGCCAUCUUUUUCUGCAACGUAAAAAAAGGAUUUAAUGACUUUCAUGCUUGUUUCUAUGGUAACGCUGUGCUUCCCCGGCCUUUGAAGUGACUGAUGGCUAGCCAAGCCAGCUCCAAGUCCAAGUCUUCUUCGGCAAUGAGCAGCGGCGGGGACACGGCCCCUCCUGCGAGAGCCAAUCAGAGGACGAUUUUAGACGACAUCAUCCUGACCUUCAGCUCGCCCAUGGCGUGGCUGCUGGUGGUGGCUCUGGUCAUCACGUGGACGGCCGUGGCCGUGGUUCUCUUUGACCUUCUGGACUACAAAACGCUCGCAGCAUCAAACUACGGCCAUCUUCACACUCUUACCUACUCUACAGACAACUUUUUUCCAGGGUCUCCCACCUCCCCCUGCCAUCGCCAAGCGAGGUUUGAAGGCCAGAGGAGGCGUCCGCCAAAUAAGGUCCCCCAUCAGCGAGGUGGCCCCGCCACAGGAGAGCACCGACUGGUUGGAGAUGAUGUGGACGUUUGCGGCCGGCUUGGUGGCCCCGGAUGACGAAGACAUUGACGAGGGUGUGGAAGGUAUUCACCAGCUAACCGAAACCUUCACAUCUUUGCACUCCGAGGAACUUUGAUGGAGGGGCAACGUGGAAGAUGAUGUACAGUAGAAAUGGCAGCAAUACUGGAAUCUAAUCAAUAAAAACAGCUAUUAGUCCUUAUUAUCUGUUGCUUCUUGAGUGCCUGAAAUACAGACAUUAAAAGACCGGGCUCUGUUUUAAGAUGUAUUGUGAAGCCUGGGAAUGGAGGGCUUUUUGUGAUGCUCGUAAACAAGCUGUAGGGACAAACACACUCCAGUUGAAGAAUGUAUGUUUUGCACUGUUGAAUCUUAAGGAGGUUUGAAGUCUGGCUUCAAAAUUCACAUCAGACAUGGAACGUUGCGUGUGCCUAGCAGCAUGUCAUAUGUUUUCCAAUCGCUUCCAUUUUAAUCAGU
Molecule: non-coding RNA, 1775 nt
Organism: Doryrhamphus excisus (bluestripe pipefish)
Lineage: Eukaryota; Metazoa; Chordata; Actinopteri; Syngnathiformes; Syngnathidae
Source: RefSeq, a predicted model, not a curated record